GAGGGCAGGCUCGUGUUCUGUCAUACGCCACACAACUUCCAGCAAAAACACAAACAUCCAAAAAGACGUUGGGCCUGUGGAACCCCUAGAUAUCAAAAUCCAGAUUCCUGAAGGAAGCAGAUGACAGAUGGCGCUGAUGAAAUGCCCUCCUUAAGCCACCUUCUUGAUCCAGACCUUCACACAGCAGCUGCAUGGCAGAGUGACUAACUGCAAAGCUUGAGAGCCACACUGUUCCAGCACAUACCCCAGCCCUGCAACUUAGGCUCUGUGGGACUGGGAAACUCAUUCACCCCUCAGAACUUCCAAAUCAUCGAUACAGCAUUACCAGUGUCGAACCUUGGCAGAAAUUUGAAGCUCACUUUUGAUGAAGGAAGAGUGUGUUUGUUCAGUGAUGUAAUUAAGACAUGUUUGACAACGUCAGCUUUUGACGUGGUGAUACUAAGUGCUGCAUCCUAAACUGGCAACCAUGAGGCACCAAUUCUAGUGUCUUGAGGGAAAAAAAGACACGAAGCUGGUGGUAACGCAAAA
Molecule: long non-coding RNA, 528 nt
Organism: Peromyscus eremicus (cactus mouse)
Lineage: Eukaryota; Metazoa; Chordata; Mammalia; Rodentia; Cricetidae
Exons: 3
Source: RefSeq, a predicted model, not a curated record